RNAcentral lists this transfer RNA (72 nucleotides) under bacterium. RNAcentral describes it as "tRNA-Met". It matches the Rfam family "tRNA". Rfam says of the family: Transfer RNA (tRNA) molecules are approximately 80 nucleotides in length. Their secondary structure includes four short double-helical elements and three loops (D, anti-codon, and T loops). The record is from RNAcentral.
GGCUGGGUAGCUCAGUGGUAGAGCAUUCGUUUCAUAAGCGAAUGGCCGAGAGUUCGAUUCUCUCCCCUGCCA